UCUGCUCAUUAAUGCCGCUUCCUCAGACACCUACAUUCAAAAAACCAAGAAGUUGUACAUCGACAGCCGAGCCAGAAGGAACCUGGGCAGCAUCAACACUGAGCUGCAGGACGUGCAGAGGAUCAUGGUGGCGAACAUCGAGGAGGUCCUGCAGAGAGGGGAGGCGCUCUCUGCACUAGACUCCAAGGCCAGCAACUUGUCCAGCCUGUCGAAGAAAUACAGGAGCGACGCCAAAUACCUGAACACCCGCUCCACUUACGCCAAGCUGGCAGCAGGGGGCGUCUUUUUCAUCAUGCUCAUCGUUUACAUUCGCUUCUGGUGGCUCUGAGUGAUGAAAGGGGAGGAGGAGAUGAGGAAGGAGGUAGAAAAGUGGAAAAUGAGCCGUGCGCAGCCUGCGGACGUGAAAAAGAAGCUUUCGCUUUUGAUGAACAACAAGAUCCCUGCUUCUUAAGGAGACUUUACAGACAUACUGUCCCACUGCUCUGUCCUCACCUUGUCCACGAGUGGGUGUCUGAUCUGAAGCUAAAUGAUGUCCGAAUGCUUUGUUUUAUUAUUAUCAUACCGUAUAAUACCCUUGAAGUUGCCCCGCAUUUCAGAGUUAACGAGUUAACGUGCGAGUCUCUGUGUGUAUGUGGGUUGGCUGUUUUUGAAGGUGAUUUGUGGGUAAGUGAUGAGAAAAAAAAAGAAAAUUUCCUGUGUUAAUAGUUUCUAAAGCUAUUCUGUACUAUAAAUGAGUGUGUGGCUGAAGCUUCUGUAUGUCUAAUUAUACAGAUGAAAGAAACUAAUCACCUUCUUUUUCUUAGAAGCCUGAUCACAUCACUUUGGCAGUUCUGUUCAUUUACUAUACGAUUAUAGUAGGGAUAGCUUUACGGAUUAUACUCCGAAUUCAUAAAUAAUUAGGAAAAUGUAAAUAGAGAUACAUAUUAGACACAACAAAGGAAAAUGCAGAACUUCCUAUUGUUAAGGCAAGUAAAUAAACCAUUCUGAUUUUUG
Molecule: long non-coding RNA, 993 nt
Organism: Xiphophorus maculatus (southern platyfish)
Lineage: Eukaryota; Metazoa; Chordata; Actinopteri; Cyprinodontiformes; Poeciliidae
Exons: 2
Source: RefSeq, a predicted model, not a curated record